AUUGAACGCUGGCGGCAUGCUUUACACAUGCCAGUCGAACGGUAACAGGCCGCAAGGUGCUGACGAGUGGCGAACGGGUGAGUAAUGCAUCGGAACGUGCCCAGUCGUGGGGGAUAACUACUCGAAAGAGUAGCUAAUACCGCAUACGAUCUAUGGAUGAAAGCGGGGGACCGUAAGGCCUCGCGCGAUUGGAGCGGCCGAUGUCAGAUUAGGUAGUUGGUGGGGUAAAGGCUCACCAAGCCAACGAUCUGUAGCUGGUCUGAGAGGACGACCAGCCACACUGGGACUGAGACACGGCCCAGACUCCUACGGGAGGCAGCAGUGGGGAAUUUUGGACAAUGGGCGCGAGCCUGAUCCAGCAAUGCCGCGUGCAGGAAGAAGGCCUUCGGGUUGUAAACUGCUUUUGUACGGAACGAAACGGCUCUGGUUAAUACCCGGGGCUAAUGACGGUACCGUAAGAAUAAGCACCGGCUAACUACGUG
This 482-nucleotide ribosomal RNA is filed under the name uncultured bacterium. Its description in RNAcentral is "partial 16S ribosomal RNA". It matches the Rfam family "Bacterial small subunit ribosomal RNA", at positions 30 to 507 of the family's 1533-position model. The record is from RNAcentral.